Long non-coding RNA from Pangasianodon hypophthalmus (striped catfish), 6740 nucleotides. RefSeq lists it as uncharacterized. The transcript is spliced from 2 exons. The record is from RefSeq and is a predicted model, not a curated record. NCBI's taxonomy places the organism in Eukaryota, Metazoa, Chordata, Actinopteri, Siluriformes, Pangasiidae.
UUCAGAAAGUCUCUAGACUUUACACAGUGUUUUGUUGUUUUUUUUUCCCUUUAACCAUCUUCACCUGUCCAGGUUCGGUGCGCCUCGUGCUCUUGGCCGACAGGAGCGGAAGCCGAUGUGGUCUUCUGCUGUUGUAGCUCGUCCGCUGCAAGGUUCUUUGCGUUCUGAGAUGCUUUUCUGCUCACCACGGAUGUAAAGAGUGGUUAUUUGAGUUACCGUAGCCUUCCUGUCAGCUCAAACAGAGACAGCAAUCAUGCCACGCUCAACAUCACUGAGAUCCAGACAAGGAUUAUAAUAAGGGCUAGGUCUGGGGCCUGAGCUCAGAGGGGGCCCCUGUUUGCCUGUGGUUCAUGUUAGCUCUGCGUGAUUGACAGGUAAGAAGUAGUGAUAUUGAAAUGACCUCUAGUACACUACUACUGAGCAUUUUAUUCACUAGCACUGUUAGUAAUAGCAGAAGAUGAUAUCUCAUUUAUUUGAUGGGCGGUUAAAUAUGAAAUCAUCAUGAUGACUUCCUAGACCUUUUUGAACAUCAUCACAGUGCAGCUCCUGUGCAAAACCAUGCUGUACAUACAGCUGAACAGUUUCUGGUAGACAUUUUUCCUAUAAACAUCAUAUUAUAGGCCUGCUGUAGUUUCAGAGCCUAGGUAACUGGUUUGAAGUGGUAGAACAGAUAGUAAUAUGUUUAAAAAAAAAUAAUAAUAGCUAGUUUACGCCCUUCAAGAGCUCACAAAAAUGCUGAUGUGGCCCUGCUUUUAAUGCACUUUUAUAACCAGUGCUUGUGAUGCUGUAAAUGUAAACAGUGUUGCUCUGAAUUCAUAUUUGUUUUUAAUAGACGUGUUUUCACAAUUCCAUGUUACGAAAGCUAAAGUGUAGGUUGCAGUGUUUCGAAACUUCUAAACAAUAUUAGCAAAUACAGCACGCAAUCACUGCACCCUUAAUACUGAUCUAGCAUCGUUCGAAUGCCAUAGUCUAUCCAAGUACUCUUGCUGACCAUAAUUAGCUACAAUUCACCUGUCUUUUAAUGGCUGCUUUCAGCAUGACAACAUGUUACACCUAUGAUGGUCAGAUCAGUUGAACCCAUGCUUCAACCCAUGAUUGCAAUGAUCUGACUCAGGUAAGGUUUCAUUUUGGUAGAGAGAUAAUUAAAAUCUUACAUAUAUUGAUUUGAAUGAAUGAAUGAAUGAAUGAAUGAAUGAACCACCUUUCACAUUUGUCACAAAAGAAAAUCUGGCCUCCUGACAAAAAUAUGAAAAACUUCAAUUUUUUAGUAGAUCAGUAAAAACCUAAAAUCUACAGGUAUUACCUGCUAUAAUUUGUUGGUUAAUUAGGUACACCUUCCAGAAACUGAAACCUAAAGCCCUAAAGGGCAAGAUGAUGACACUGUGUACUGAAAACGAUCAUCUUUAAUUUGCAGCGAAACAGUUACAGUAUGCCUGAUACAAGCCUGGUAAUGUGUAAGAUAUUACCGUAUCUGGCAUAAAAAAAAAAAAAAAAAAACCCAUGUUUCUCAAUAUGCGCUUGAGUACUUUCGCAUGUCCUUGUUUUCUCACUUGACAUCAUCUUUUAAUUUGCACCAUAUUAAGGAACACAAUGGGGAAAAAAACACCAUGGAAAGUCUUAGCAAAUGAAAUGUCUUGAGUAAAGGAACUGAUCUAAUAUUUCUCACGGUGACAUAAUGUAAUACCAUUAAGAUUAUUUCUAGAUAUAUUUACUAAUUUCAAGCAUAAAAAUGUCUUAGACGUGUCAGUUGAUGAAUCCAUCAUUUAUUGUGACGUCAACGUGACGGUGAAGGACUGAAACUCGGGUUCAAAUCAUCACCUAUCUUUUGUACCUGAUGAAGUCAUACCCUGAGGAAAGAAGCAAAAUUGGCUUUGCUCUCUGAGCGGGAGAGAUGGUAUUACUCACUCUCCUGUCAAUCACAGGAACACUAGCCAAUCAUGGGCAUCACUGAGUUCGUGUAUGUGGAAGAGGGCGGAUAGCACUUUCCUUUGAGUGUGUUAGAAAGAUGAUAAAAGAUGUUGAACGGCUUCACGUGUCUCGGAUGAAACACGUGAAAGCCUCACCCUCCCUGGUUAGUAGCUGUCAUAUGAUUGGGGAGAGCUGACUAGUGGAUGACCACAUUGAGGGGAAAAAUGGGGAAGAAUAAUUUUUAAAAUAUUAUAUUUAUUGACACGAACAACACAUAAUAUGAAUUCACAGAGACUAUCAGGUAUCACGCUCAUUUUAUUGUCAUAUGUUUCCAGCAUAUAGGUAUACACUUAGCAUAAAGUCUUUAUGAAAAUUGUGGAGAGACAAAAUACAAGACAGCCGCAUAAGGAGGAAGUUCACAUAAGUGAGAAGAAAAAAUAUUGCACAAGUUUGGGAUUGCAUAUAGAAUGAAUAGUGCAAAUUGUGCAAUUUGAUUUAAAAAAAAAAAAACGUGUAGCGCAAAUACUGAUGCAAAGAGGAAGCUCUUGUUUGACAGAACUAUCCCACUCUUAAAUAAUUUAUUAACUGAGACUAUAAACUGAAAGCUGAAUUAUUACUGUUAGAUGGUGUAGCUCUUUCUUUUAAUGCUGUAUUAAUAAACUGGCACAGAUGUUAUCCUGCUCAUCUUUAUAGACCACUGAAUCAUCUUCCUCUUCUUCCUGUAUGUGGUCUUGCUCCAUAUCCGAAAAGAAGUUCUGGAAGAUGUGAAAUAAAGAAAAAUAAAAUAACAGCUGCACAAUUUAAGAGCAAACAGAGGUUGAAUCUCCACACUUCAAAAAGCAGCAGCAGGAUUGAGCAUGCCAAAUGACUCAUCUGGCAUAGUAACCACUGAACCUGGCCUCAUACUGGUGGAACAUAAAAGGCCAUGCUGCCGUUUCUUUGCUUUAACUUUUUUAUUUUUUCACGUCCACAAAGUCUUUACAUGCAUUGGAAUGAUAAUAACACUUACACUAACACUACUACUACUACUACUACUAAUAAUAAUAAUAAUAAUAACAAUAAUAAUAAUAAUAAUAAUAAUAAUAAUAAUAGUCCUAAUUGCAAAUAACUAUCAAAAGGGGCAGUAAAAAAAAAAACCCAACAAAAAUUAUUCAAUUUAUAUGCAUAUUCAAUUUGACUUGUUUUACUGUUUCUUUAAACGCAAGUUAUCUGAAUUCUAAUAAAAUAAAAAUGACAAAUCACAGCAGUACUGAUGCUGGUAUUUUCACUGAGCACUUUGCUUUGAUUGCCAUCAUCAGUCAUGAAGUACAGAAUGUCCAAAGGUCAGUCCAGAAGUUUACAUUCACCUAAGCUAAAGAGAUUCAAACUCAAAUUUUCACAACUCCACACAUUUCUUGUGUUAAGUCAGUUAGUGUAUCUGCAUUAUUUCCAUUUCAAAAUAAUAGCAAAGAGACAGAUUUAUUUAAACUUUAUUUAUUAUAUGUUCAGGAUCAUUGUCCUGUGGAAGCCCCAGUUGCGUCCAAAAUUGUUGUGGUUAAUGUCUUUAGGUUUUACUUCAGUAUUUCUAGAUAAUCCUCCAUCAUCAUGAGGCCAACUUUUUUCUGAACUCCCCUACAGCAUGAUGCUCCCAACCCCAUGCUUCACAGUUGCGAUGGUGUUCUUCGGAUUAAAUCGUCACCCUUUUUCCUCCACACAGUGCUGAUAAUUACGGCCAAACCGUUAAAUGUUUGUUUCACCUGACCAGAGAACGCUCCUCUAAAAGGCUGGUGAUCACCUACGAACUUCAGUCUGGCCAAUCAGAAGCUUAUAAAAGUCAUUACAUCAAUUUCUGUAAUCUUUCAGACUGUUUAAAGAGACAGUCAGCUUGGUGUAUGUAAACUUUUGACCUCCUGGAUUUCUGAUAUAGAGAAUAAAAUCUGAAACAAGUCUGUUUCUAAUCGAUUGUGUUAAAAUGACCCCUAGUGUGAAUGAAGUGUUGUGUUGAUUUGUCAAAAGAUUCGCAUAGGUGUAUGUAAACUUUUUUUUUUAGUUUUUUGCCCAAACAGAACUAAUGUUGCAUGCACUGUAGCAAUGAACUGUUAAACGUGCUUGGAUUUUAGAGAAACAACCCCUAAGAAGCCAACGGCUGGAAAAGGAAGUGCUUCACUUUGUGCAGAGUGAGCGAACAAUUGAGGUUUUUUUUUCUCCAAAGGAUUAUGUAUGAGACUGUACACGCAAAAUGCUGUUGUCUGUAGAGCCUGAUGUGAAAUCUCCAGUGACUCCCUUACCACGUGUGCUCAACCUAACCUUUGGUCUUUCUAUGAUGAAUGCCGCCUCCAGGUCCCGUAUCACUACAACCACGCUAGUGAAUGCCUUAUUCAGCUUCCUGGUGUGUUAUCAGUUUGAGCAAGCUUGGGUCAGAAUAUAUAUGAUGUUGCACAAUAACAGGGGGCAGAUGGUAACUUUGCACAAACAAUCUCAUAAGAAUGUGAGAAUGGAGAGCAUAAAUAUGAGCAUUUUGUGUACUUGCUUUGGUUCAAUAACCAGCGUAAUCCCUUACGAGGCACGUUUGUACAAUGCAAAAUAUAUAACUGUAGUCUGAUAUGACUCUUUAUCUGUAACUAUAUUACUACAGUAAAAGCUAAAGUUAAAUUGUUACUUGUAAAAAAAAAAACUGAGCAAGGCAAUACUAUAUUUCUGAGAGCAUUUGAGUAACUGCAAAGUACAAACCUAAGUAAGAAAAGCAAAGAAGGUGCUACAUUUCAUUGUUAAGAUGUAACAGAUUACUAUGCUCAUAGAGUUAGCUAAGUAGCCCAUUAACACUUAUAAUCGUUUAUUUAACAAUUCUGCACUUUUUACCUAUUUACAUUGUUAUAAUAUUGUCUGUGUGAUCAGUUGUAGUAGAGAUGCAAGAUCUUAAGGCAUGGUUUUAGACUCACUCAUUUAAAAAUAUUUCUUUAGGCUUGAUGGUUAACCAAGUUACCAUGGUGAAGGUAAGAAUGUUAAAAAGAAUCUUGUACAAGACACUAGGAUUCCCAAAUGCAAAUGUAAUUGAACGUGAAAUACUACUUUAAUACCACAUUCGUUGUAGUUAAGCCUUAAGAAAUUGUUCUAGAAACAGUUCUAGAGAGUGCUGAGGUGCGGUGGUUGAAAGUGUUCAGGGGGCGGGACAAUUUAUGUUGCUUCAGUAGACUGAUAUCAUGCCUAGCCUAUACAAAAAGCAUCAGAUGUCUAUAUAAACAUUAAAAAAAAUUAAAAGUCUUUGUCAAUUCUCAAAUCUCAGGCUGUGGCAUUAGGUUUAAACAGUAUCUUUAAUCGAGAACAGUGAGCGUGGAACAGUGUAGCGAGCUUAGAGAGAAACUGACGAGAGCAUUUCAGUUCUGCGAGCACUGAGACACUUCCUUUCCCAGCCUUCUCCAAGGUCUACACUUUCCUCUCAAGUCAAGGUGCAAGUCACAGCAUUUACUUUUAACAUAAACCUAAACAGAGCACUAUUAUAUUUAAUAACCUGCACAGGAGAGAUUUUGGAGUGACCCCGACAUUCCUUCACACCAGUGCCAUUCCAGUGAGUUGUAGACUCCCUGCCAAGGUACGCUGAAGCGCUUCUGGUGACUCAUGGUGGCUCGGCAUCUUACUAACAUACUAGUCGUUUGUCAUCUGGGUGUAGUAUUGCCUAACUAGUAGUAACGUUUACAGUGCAGAACUCUGAUGUAAUUUUUGCUUCUGUUAUCAUCAUAUUUCUGUUAUCAUCAAUACUCUGUUAUCAUAUCGUUGUGAAAGAUAUUGUUCAAAACAUAGUUUAUACCCCUCAGAGAGCAGAGGAAUUGGUCUAUAUCCAACUAUCUAUAGUUUACAUCCAAGUCAUCGGUCUCAUCCAGGACGGCGACGAGUCUGCUUACAGAUAAGAGGUUGAGCAGCUGGCUGUCUGGUGCGGUCACAACAACCUGGAGCUGAACACGCUCAAAACUGUGGAGCUGAUAGUGGUCUUCAGGAGAAACCCCCCUGCUCUCCCCCUUCUCACCAUCAUGGACAUCACUGUGGCUGCAGUGGAGUCAUUCAAGUUCCUGGGCACCACCAUCUUUCAGGACCUGAAGUGGGACAUUCACAUUGACUCCAUUGUGAAAAAGGCCCAGCAGAGGUUGUUCUUCCUUCGUCAACUGAAAAAGUUCAACCUGCCACAGGCGCAGAUGUGACAGUUUCACUCAGCUGUUAUUGAGUCGAUUCUGUGCUCUUCUAUAACUGCCUGGUUUGGGUCAGCCAGCAAAUCAGAUCUAAGAAGACUGCAAUGGACUGUUAGGACAGCAGAAAGGGUCAUUGGUGUGCACCUGCCCAAGCUUCAGGACUUGUACAACUCCAGAGUGAAGGAACAGGCAGCUAACAUCAUCACAGACCCCUCUCACCCCGGCCACAACCUGUUUGCACUCCUCCCUUCAGGCAGACGUUACAGAUCUCUGUGCACUAGAACAUCUAGGCAUAAAAACAGUUUUUUUCCCCAUGCCAUCUCCAGCUUAAACAGCUAACACAGGAAUCAUUACCUGUGUUCUGUCAUUCAUUUCUGUAAUUCAUCCUCCAUCUCUAAUUACUGCCUCUUUCUCAAGUAUUAUGUUAAUACAUAUGCAUACCUCUUUAUUUAUACAGCUGUAUAUAGAGUAAAUAAUGCACAUCUGUACAUAAAUCUUAUGUUCUGGAUUCAUACACAUUAUUAUUAUUAUUAUUUAUAUUUUUUUAUUGUUAAGUCUUACUAUUUAAAUGUUUUCUGUUCUCAUGUCAGAUAUGUAUGUAUGUAUGUAUGUACCAAAGAGCACCUUAAAAAACCACAACAACUUGGCGAAUAAAGCUAAUUCAGUUUCGGA